RNAcentral lists this ribosomal RNA (468 nucleotides) under uncultured bacterium. RNAcentral describes it as "partial 16S ribosomal RNA". It matches the Rfam family "Bacterial small subunit ribosomal RNA", at positions 28 to 507 of the family's 1533-position model. The record is from RNAcentral.
GACGAACGCUGGCGGCGUGCUUAACACAUGCAAGUCGAACGGAAAGGCCCUGCUUUUGUGGGGUGCUCGAGUGGCGAACGGGUGAGUAACACGUGAGUAACCUGCCCUUGACUUUGGGAUAACUUCAGGAAACUGGGGCUAAUACCGGAUAGGAGCUCCUGCUGCAUGGUGGGGGUUGGAAAGUUUCGGCGGUUGGGGAUGGACUCGCGGCUUAUCAGCUUGUUGGUGGGGUAGUGGCUUACCAAGGCUUUGACGGGUAGCCGGCCUGAGAGGGUGACCGGCCACAAUGGUACUGAGAUACGGCCCAGACUCGUACGGGAGGCAGCAGUGGGGAAUAUUGCGCAAUGGGCGGAAGCCUGAUGCAGCAACGCCGCGUGCGGGAUGACGGCCUUCUGGUGGUAAACCGCUUUCGCCUGUGACGAAGCGUGAGUGACGGUAAUGGGUAAAGAAGCACCGGCUAACUACGUG